CCUCCCAUCACCUUUCUCUUCUUCGUCGCCUGCAGUCUCUCUUUCCCAGUCCCGAAUCUUCCCUCUCCUCCACGCCCUCUGCGAGGGUCGGCGCCUCGGCGGGCGAACGUCGAGCUCCUCCUCGUCUCAUCGGCUCGUCGCUCCUCGUCCCCAACCCCGACCUCGAGCUUCUCCUACUCCUCGUCACGCCGGCCGCCGCGCACCCUUUGACCUCGACAGAUCGACCUCGCCGCCGAGCCCCCGACACCAACGGCAGCUCUUCUCAUCCUCUCCCCCCUCAGGUGACCCGGUCCCAACCUCCCCUGCUGUAGAGUUGUGCCUCGGUGCUUAAUUCCCAUGCUCUUUAUUCGUGCCGUCUCUGUGGGUUCCGCUCCUCUGCGGCCUGCGCCUCCCGCUGGCUCCAUGGAAUCUGCACGCGGCUUGAUUGCUUGGGAUGCUGCUGUCUCUUGGCUGCUGCUGCUGCUGCUAUUGGCCCGUAUGGGAAGCAGGUGCAGCAUGUGCGGUGGCACAGGGCCCCUAAAAUUUUGGGGCCCCAAAAAAUAACUUAAAUGGCAGUUAGUAGUAUUAAUCACGGGAAUAUCCAAGCAACGUUCAUCUGCUGUGCAAGGUUCCAACCUCCAAUGCCAACGAGUUUCAGAUUCCAAGGCCAGUACACAAGCGCACGCCUUUCUCUUGACCUCUCUCUCCAUUUAAAUGACAUUUAAUACUAGUAUAAAUUACCACUUAGUUGGAUUAGUAAAUUCCUCAAGCAUCAUAUCCGGAACUAGUACAGUCUGUUCUGCUACUAUUCUUCUCCAGUUUUUCCGUUAUCCUUGAACCAAAUGACUUCACAAAUUCUUCAAAGAAAUUUGAGGGUGGCAUGGAUUCAUAUGCUCCACUCUCAUCUAUAGAUUUUCUUCUCAACAUCCACCUCUCUUGUAUUAUUAUUAUUACGAAGAUUAUGUUUAUAGUAUGCUAAAUAAGUACUCCCUCCGUCCAGAAAUACUUGUCGGAAAAAUGGAUGUAUCUAGACGUAUUUUAGGUCUAGUUAUAUCCAUUUUUAUCCAUUUCUCCGACAAGUAUUUUCGAACAGAGGAAAUACGAUUUUCUUCAUAUAAAGAGCCUAAUUGCAUCCUAUUUUGCACCGGGCCCCCGGAUCCUCGGGUACGGCCCUGCCAUUACUUUGACAUAACGGAAUUGCAUGAAAAAUUCCGGCUUGUAUGCUCUGAAAAUUGCACCCGGCCGCCUCUGCUGCCGUGUCCACGCAAAGAGCGCUUAGGCGAGCUAGGUGCUAGGCAGAGGCAAAACAGUUGUCUAACGCCUAUCGCUUAACGGACCGUUUAUACUUUAUACACAUAUAAUGCUUCUAGAAUUUCCAAGACAUGAAAUCCGUAUGUGCUCACGUGCAACAUUUUUGUACCAAAAUAUUGUCUCAGAUUCCAUCACAUUUUGCAGAAACCACCCUCAGAUGGAACCGGCAAAGAACGGGAAGGGCAAGGAGAACACAGAAGAGCAUAAGAAUGAAACAGAAGAGAAGCUAGUUGUGGACAUUGUGGACAAUGAUUAUAUAGAUGCAGUUGAAGAAACAAACUCCAUUUCCACUGAUACCCUUGUGAGUGAGAGUGAUUCUGAGAGUGACGAUUCCGAGAGUGACGCACCUCAACGAGCGCCAAGCAACAGAACCCGAGGAGGAGGACGAGGAGGCAAUAGAACCCGAGGAGGAGGAGGAGGGCGAGGGGGCAACAGAACCCGGGGAGGAGGAGGACGAGGGGCUAACAGAAUCCGAGGAGGAAGAAGAGGGGGUACGGGACGCACUAGUGGUUAGCAUCUUUAUCGGCAUUGCCAAAAUAUUAGUGCAAUUUGAAUGAUGUUGCAAUUGCCUUAGGUCUGGAACUCCAAACUUCUAACUUUAAUCCUUUGUUAGCCGUUCUUACCAUAGUUCAGGCUUCAACACCGUAGCGGCUUCUAUGUUGUGUGAUCUCGAUACCAUGUUUGGUUUUGAGCUCCAGUAAUUCAGAGCUUGCAUACAUUUAGUUCUUUUGCCUUCUGUCUAUUUCUUGCUGUUUGAGUAUCUAGGACUU
This is a long non-coding RNA of Triticum aestivum (bread wheat), 2060 nucleotides long. RefSeq lists it as uncharacterized. The transcript is spliced from 3 exons. Lineage: Eukaryota; Viridiplantae; Streptophyta; Magnoliopsida; Poales; Poaceae. The record is from RefSeq and is a predicted model, not a curated record.